UACGUAGGGUGCAAGCGUUAAUCGGAAUUAUUGGGCGUAAAGCGUGCGCAGGCGGCUUUGCAAGUCAGAUGUGAAAUCCCCGGGCUUAACCUGGGAACUGCAUUUGUGACUGCAUGGCUGGAGUGCGGCAGAGGGGGAUGGAAUUCCGCGUGUAGCAGUGAAAUGCGUAGAUAUGCGGAGGAACACCGAUGGCGAAGGCAAUCCCCUGGGCCUGCACUGACGCUCAUGCACGAAAGCGUGGGGAGCAAACAGG
This 253-nucleotide ribosomal RNA is filed under the name uncultured bacterium. Its description in RNAcentral is "partial 16S ribosomal RNA". It matches the Rfam family "Bacterial small subunit ribosomal RNA", at positions 524 to 776 of the family's 1533-position model. The record is from RNAcentral.